This 551-nucleotide unclassified non-coding RNA is filed under the name Hevea brasiliensis (rubber tree). Lineage: Eukaryota; Viridiplantae; Streptophyta; Magnoliopsida; Malpighiales; Euphorbiaceae. The record is from RNAcentral.
CAUAUAUGCAUUUUCUGUCAAGGCCAAAAUAAAACCCUCUCAGAAAGCUGCAAACAAUUAAAAGAACGAAAAAACAAGAAAUGUGGAAAGAUAAACCACCUGGUGUAAUUUAACCAAAUGUACCAAAAAUCGAGAUGGCUGUUCCUGAAGCAGAUGACUGCUAGCUCUUCCUUUUUCCGUUUCAUUAUCACCUUGAAUUAUGUGGGUUCGAAGAAGAACCAACCAUUGUUGCUGGUGCAUAUGUUGUGUCAUGCAUUUUUUUUUAAUACUAAAUUGAUAGAAGCCGAAUUGCCAGAAAUUACUAGAAUGUAACUUUACAAAAGUCCAUCUUCUACUAAAAAAAUGAUGUACCUCAUCUCCAAUGAUGGAUACCACCAGUUGUCAAGCUGUCAAUGCAUCGUGACAAUCCCGAUCAGUUAAUACAUUAACAACAAUAUGCUUUCAGUUGAUUACAGAUCCAAACAAAUGGAAUUAAAUAGCCUUAGAGUAGUGAUUUUCAUAAGCCCUAAUAUGUACCUUCCCUGCCUCUAAUGCACUUGAUUAUUCUCUGU